UGGCGCCCAACGUGGGACUCAAGAACGGUGGACUUCGUGAGGGCUGCUGUUCAUGGACCCAAAGGAGAAAAAGGAAAAGAAAAUAGAGGACCUGGCAAUGUGGGAGCCUGCCAUGCCACUGAACCUCAGUAAGUGAACAGCAAUUAUUGGAGAAGAAAUUAGCCACAUGAGACUUUUGUUGAAAAUUUAGUAAAACUUUUAAAGGCAUGAGGGGUAAAGGUGCAUAUUGAGCAAUUAUGCCAAUACUUUGAUAUUAUAAGAGAGGUUUGCCCAU
Cavia porcellus (domestic guinea pig) is the source of this 274-nucleotide regulatory RNA element. It matches the Rfam family "Mason-Pfizer monkey virus packaging signal". From Rfam's summary of the family: The packaging signal is located in the 5' UTR and is required for specific RNA encapsidation. Lineage: Eukaryota; Metazoa; Chordata; Mammalia; Rodentia; Caviidae. The record is from Rfam.